RNAcentral lists this unclassified non-coding RNA (2147 nucleotides) under Octopus sinensis (East Asian common octopus). RNAcentral's name for it is "allene oxide synthase-lipoxygenase protein, transcript variant X1". Lineage: Eukaryota; Metazoa; Mollusca; Cephalopoda; Octopoda; Octopodidae. The record is from RNAcentral.
ACUAAUUCACUGCUCCUCUUUUUCUCUUUCUUUGCAGAGAUGGGACUACAACAGUCGAGAUUAAAUAAUGCGCUCCAAAUACGAACUGGAGACCAGAGGGAAUCUUCGACCGAUUCCAAUGUUUAUGUUAUCCUACAUGACACUUCGGAAACAAAAAGCGAGAUGAUUCUUCUUGACAACUGGUGCAGAAAUGAUUUUAAAAUCGGGGCCCUCGACACGUUUAAUAUUAAACUUCCGGAUUCGUUCACAGAAGUGAGUAAAAUCGAAAUCUGGACGGAGCCUUGUUCAAUCGAAUUAACAUCUUCGAACUGGUAUAUAGACACGAUUAAAUUUGUGCGCCGUUUUAAAGGAGAAAGUGUAAUGUUUCCAGUUUUCCGAUGGAUUAAACCAAAGCACCAUUAUUAUAUUUACCCGUGGGAUACAUUUUUGCCUCAGAACGAUCCAGAUGAAAAGCAACGGGAAGGCGAAAUUGACUACAAACGGGAGAUUUACCAGAUCAAAUACGCAGAAGGUGCUCCUAUUUUGUGUGAGUCUCUGCCGAUCGACGAAGAAUUCUCUGCAAAAUACAUGUGGAACAUGUUAACGAACAAACUGGAUGUGAUUCUGAGGGGAAUAUAUACCAGAAUUAUUACAGACUCCUGGAAGACAUUGGAUGAUUUAACCAAUGUUUAUCAAGAAGAAAAACUUACGGAACCCGAGUCUGUUAAAUUCUGGAGGGAAGAUACAUGGUUUGGAUAUCAACGUCUAAAUGGUUGCAAUCCCACAGUAAUUACCCUCUGUGAAGAAAUACCAUCCAAACUUGGUGUGGAUGAUGAGGUUCUGAAACCGGUCCUGAAAGGAGAAACGCUGGAAGAUUUGAUCAAGAAAAAACGACUAUUUUAUACAGAUUUGGAUAUUUUGGAAGGUAUUACACAUAGAGAAGAUUUAGAUAUGUGUGUUCCAAUUGCGUUAUUUAUGCUGAAUUCCAAAGACGAUUUGGUGCCAAUUGCCAUACAGCUGCAGCAGCAAAAGGGACCAGAUAAUCCUAUAUUUCUUCCUACGGACGAUCAUUACGUUUGGACUCUUGCUAAAAUGUGGUAUAAUCUGGCUGAUUCCAGUUUCCACCAGUCUCUUGUGCACUUGGGCUUGACUCAUUUAUUAAUGGAAGGGGUUAUUCUUGCCAUGCACAGAAAUAUAUCCGUGUCUCAUCCUCUCUACAAGCUAUUGGCACCUCACACACUAUUCCUUUUGGCAAUCAACAGUCGAGGAUUCAAAAAGCUGGUGUCACCUGGCGGCUGGGUUGACAAGACGAUGACCAUUGGAAUAGACGGAAUGUUUCAACUGAUAUAUAAAGGUGUACAACUUUGGGAUUUUUCAAUCGAUGGAAAUCUUCCAAAAGAAUUUGCCAGAAGAAAGGUUGAUGACCCGAACGUGUUACCCAAAUACUAUUUCAGAGACGAUUCUCUGACCUUGUAUAAUUGUAUACUGAAGUAUGUAUCCAGCUAUAUAGAUGUCUACUACGGAGCUGACAAAGAUGUUGUCGAAGAUUGGGAAUUACAAAACUGGGCUGAAUGUAUCUCAAAGGAGCCCAAACCCGAAGACGGUGGCAUCGGUAUAAAGGGCUUGCCAAUGAAGGAUGGCAAAGGUCAUAUGCCUUCAAAAGAACAAUUAAAAUUGUUUAUAACUACUGUCCUCUUUACCUGUAGUGUGUCACAUGCACACGCCAACUUCCUUCAGUAUGAAGAAUAUGCAUUUCCUGCAAAUUAUCCAUCAAUGAUAAGGACUCCGUUGUUAAAAGACAAAAAUCCACGAAAAGAGGAAGAUCUCAUGGCAGCCCUGCCCGACAAAGCUACGACUUUAGAUGUUAUGGCAAUCACAAACCUACUGAGUGCUAAGACAACCAAAUCUUUAGGGGAUUUUGAAACACAAUAUAUCUAUGAUCCGAAAGCUCUUGUAUGUGUCAAAGAAUUCCAGAUGAACCUGAAAGCUAUCAGUGACAAAAUCAGAAAAAGGAAUAAGACCCUGGAAAAGGCUUACAAUGUUUUAGACCCUGUCAACAUUCCUAAUGCUAUUAGUAUUUGAAAUACAGCAUAUACCAUACACAUACACACACACAUAUAUACAUACAUACAUACAUAUAUACACACAUGCAUGCAUGAAUGUAUGCA